Non-coding RNA from Pan troglodytes (chimpanzee), 151 nucleotides. It matches the Rfam family "Metazoan signal recognition particle RNA". From Rfam's summary of the family: The signal recognition particle (SRP) is a universally conserved ribonucleoprotein. It is involved in the co-translational targeting of proteins to membranes. NCBI's taxonomy places the organism in Eukaryota, Metazoa, Chordata, Mammalia, Primates, Hominidae. The record is from Rfam.
GCCGGGCAUGGUGGCACAUGCCUGUAGUCCCAGCUACUUAGGAGGCUGAGGCAGGAGAAUCGCUUGAACCCAGGAGGCAGAGGUUGUUGCAGUGAGCCAAGGUCGUGCCACUGUACUCCAUCCUGGGUGACAGAGCGAGACUCUGUCUCAA